RNAcentral lists this ribosomal RNA (253 nucleotides) under uncultured bacterium. Its description in RNAcentral is "partial 16S ribosomal RNA". It matches the Rfam family "Bacterial small subunit ribosomal RNA", at positions 524 to 776 of the family's 1533-position model. The record is from RNAcentral.
GACGAACCGUGCGAACGUUAUUCGGAUUCACUGGGCGUAAAGCGCACGUAGGCGGCUUACUAAGUCAGGGGUGAAAUCCUGGAGCUCAACUCCAGAACUGCCUUUGAUACUGGUGAGCUUGAGUCCGGAAGAGGUGAGUGGAACUGCGAGUGUAGAGGUGAAAUUCGUAGAUAUUCGCAAGAACACCAGUGGCGAAGGCGGCUCACUGGUCCGGUACUGACGCUGAGGUGCGAAAGCGUGGGGAGCAAACAGG